Molecule: non-coding RNA, 342 nt
Organism: Vicia faba (fava bean)
Lineage: Eukaryota; Viridiplantae; Streptophyta; Magnoliopsida; Fabales; Fabaceae
Source: the annotation of a GenBank genome assembly
GCACAAACAUUAAAACAACCUAAUUUAAACUCAUAUUUUAUUAUACCCCUCUAUUAUACCUUUCUAUCAUUAACUUUAUCAAACGACACCAACGGCUUCCAAAUUAAAUAUGCAACAAUUACAACUCAAGAAUACAUGGAUAACAAUGCCCCACCAACUUGUCAUUAUACCUUUCUAUCAUUAACUUUAUCAAACGACACCAACGGCUUCCAAAUUAAAUACGCAACAAUUACAACUCAAGAAUACAGGGAUAACAAUGCCCCACCAACUUGUCUGUCACCCCUCCCUUGUACACAGUUCCAUUUCUUUGGUCAAUUUGAACCAGACAGUUCUGCAUAUUGA